AUCCAGUGACGAGUCCCAGAUAGGACGAAAUGCGCGUUGUCCUGGAU
This 47-nucleotide non-coding RNA is filed under the name Trichobilharzia regenti. The record is from RNAcentral. Lineage: Eukaryota; Metazoa; Platyhelminthes; Trematoda; Strigeidida; Schistosomatidae.